GAUGAGGAACCACUAUGAACGAAGUUCAUAAUCGGAAUCGGUUCCGACAACCUGCCGCCGAGCGUAUGCGGGGGCAUCACAUU
RNAcentral lists this small RNA (83 nucleotides) under pig gut metagenome. Its description in RNAcentral is "GA-cis RNA". It matches the Rfam family "GA-cis RNA". The record is from RNAcentral.